CAUUUUUAUCGAUAGGUGAAAUACAUUUAUGAUGCUGUUGCCACGCAUGCCCAUGUGACUUCUUCCACCUGGCAUCGUCUUCUCCGUUCGCGUUGCAUUCGAAAUUCUGGGGCUGCGCAACCAGACAAAGGUUGCACGUAAAUGACCCAAGUUAUCAUAAAUAUGUCAAAAGUUGAAAAUUAAAUGUACAGCAUGCUGAGUCCGGAUCCUCGUGCCCCAAUCCUCGAACUCCCGCGCCCGCAUUCUUUAUUGAUAUUUUUGCACUUGUUUACAUUUUCUGAUUUAGAGCCAUUCGCUGCUGAUGGUCGUAAGAAGGACCACACGUGGCGCCAUCUUGUUUAUGAUAAGUGGAAUCCUGUUUGCGGACCGAGAUUCCGAUUGCUGUGUGGCAGCAAUGAUUGAAUGCGUGUUGUGGUUUAUGAGUCACAAGGCACUGAAGCAAUCCUUACCUUAAGCAGCCAAAGAAUGAAACUAUAAAAUGGAUGUUUUGUACGAAAUACUGUAUGAAAAGAUCUAUGUAUCUGAAAUAUAACUAUCUUCUUAACUACCUA
This is a long non-coding RNA of Drosophila yakuba, 551 nucleotides long. RefSeq lists it as uncharacterized. The record is from RefSeq and is a predicted model, not a curated record. NCBI's taxonomy places the organism in Eukaryota, Metazoa, Arthropoda, Insecta, Diptera, Drosophilidae. The transcript is spliced from 2 exons.